AAUAUUGGACAAUGGGUGCAACCCUGAUCCAGCCAUGCCGCGUGUGUGAAGAAGGUCUUCGGAUUGUAAGGCACUUUUAGUUGGGAGGAAGGGCUUUAGGUUAAUACCCUGAAGUUUUGACGUUACCAACAGAAUAAGCACCGGCUAACUCUGUGCCAGCAUCCGCGGUAAUACAGAGGGUGCAAGCGUUAAUCGGAAUUACUGGGCGUAAAGCGCGCGUAGGUGGUUCAGAAAAAUUGGUAUGAAAUCCCCGGGCUUAACCUGGGAACUGCUUUCAUAACUGCUGAGCUAGAGUACGGUAGAGGGUAGUGGAAUUUCCUGUGUAGCGGUGAAAUGCGUAGAUAUAGGAAGGAACACCAGUGGCGAAGGCGACUACCUGGACUGAUACUGACACUGAGGUGCGAAAGCGUGGGGAGCAAACAGG
Molecule: ribosomal RNA, 424 nt
Filed under: uncultured bacterium
Lineage: Bacteria
Description: partial 16S ribosomal RNA
Rfam family: Bacterial small subunit ribosomal RNA
Source: RNAcentral